AAGCGUAAUAGCUCACUGGUCGAGUCGGCCUGCGCGGAAGAUGUAACGGGGCUAAACCAUGCCCCGAAGCUGCGGCAGCGACACUAUGUGUUGUUGGGUAGGGGAGCGUUCUGUAAGCCUGCGAAGGUGUGCUGUGAGGCAUGCUGGAGGUAUCAGAAGUGCGAAUGCUGACAUAAGUAACGAUAAAGCGGGUGAAAAGCCCGCUCGCCGGAAGACCAAGGGUUCCUGUCCAACGUUAAUCGGGGCAGGGUGAGUCGACCCCUAAGGCGAGGCCGAAAGGCGUAGUCGAUGGGAAACAGGUUAAUAUUCCUGUACUUGGUGUUACUGCGAAGGGGGGACGGAGAAGGCUAUGUUAGCCGGGCGACGGUUGUCCCGGUUUAAGCAUGUAGGCUGGUUAUCCAGGCAAAUCCGGAUAACCAAGGCUGAGGUGUGAUGA
Molecule: ribosomal RNA, 436 nt
Filed under: Acinetobacter baumannii
Lineage: Bacteria; Pseudomonadati; Pseudomonadota; Gammaproteobacteria; Moraxellales; Moraxellaceae
Description: partial 23S ribosomal RNA
Rfam family: Bacterial large subunit ribosomal RNA
Source: RNAcentral